GCCUUGGUCCGAGAGUAGUGGUGUUUACAACUAAUUGAUCACAACCAGUUACAGAUUUCUUUGUUCCUUCUCCACUCCCACUGCUUCACUUGACCAGCCUUUC
This is an unclassified non-coding RNA of Cricetulus griseus (Chinese hamster), 103 nucleotides long. It matches the Rfam family "Y RNA". From Rfam's summary of the family: Y RNAs are components of the Ro ribonucleoprotein particle (Ro RNP), in association with Ro60 and La proteins. The Y RNAs and Ro60 and La proteins are well conserved, but the function of the Ro RNP is not known. NCBI's taxonomy places the organism in Eukaryota, Metazoa, Chordata, Mammalia, Rodentia, Cricetidae. The record is from Ensembl.